RNAcentral lists this non-coding RNA (148 nucleotides) under Gorilla gorilla gorilla (western lowland gorilla). Lineage: Eukaryota; Metazoa; Chordata; Mammalia; Primates; Hominidae. The record is from Rfam by way of RNAcentral.
GCUGGGCGUGGUGGCGGGCGCCUGUAAUCCCAGCUACUCAGGAGGCUGAGGUAGGAGAAUUGCUUGACCCCGGGAGGCGGAGGUUGCAGUGAGCUGAGAUCACACCACUGCACUUCAGCCUGGGUGACAGAGCAAGACUCUGUCUCAA